GUAGGUGAACCUGCGGAAGGAUCAUUACAGAGUUCAUGCCCUUCAGGGUAGAUCUCCCACCCUUGUGUAUCAUUAUCAAAUGUUGCUUUGGCGGGCCGCAAGCCUGGCUUGCCUGGAUUCGCGUCCGGCGUGCCCGCCAGAGGAUAUCAAACUCUGAAUAUUAGUGUCGUCUGAGUACUAUUAAAUAGUUAAAACUUUCAACAACGGAUCUCUUGGUUCUG
RNAcentral lists this unclassified non-coding RNA (221 nucleotides) under rhizosphere metagenome. RNAcentral's name for it is "partial ribosomal RNA internal transcribed spacer region". The record is from RNAcentral.